Molecule: long non-coding RNA, 645 nt
Organism: Poecilia reticulata (guppy)
Lineage: Eukaryota; Metazoa; Chordata; Actinopteri; Cyprinodontiformes; Poeciliidae
Source: RefSeq, a predicted model, not a curated record
UUAAGACGAACUUUAAAAAACUUUAAAAAAUAAUGAUAGCAGGAAUGCUACACAGAAAGAGCAGCUCAGAAAUGAUGAAGCAUCUGACAUGUUGGUAUGUGGGGCCCCGAAUGGAAAUCUGCUUAGGGCCCCAAAAAGGCCUGGACCGGCCCUGUAAGACCUCGGGGUUUUCUUUCUSAUCACAACCCGGCGUGUCUCUUUAAAUGCCGCUGGCAGUAGGCGGAGCCAACAUGGCGGAGCGGCCGGCGUGACGAGGGAAACUUACGGAGCCAGAAGGAGGUGAGGAAGAGGAGGAGAGCGAGCGCCGUGGACAGCAGCAGGUAGCGGAGCAGCAGCGUCCGCCUGAGGGGAACCAUCAUCCGUCCUCAGAGUCCGAGUGGACGCCGUCGCUGCUUCACAUGCUUCCUGGACGCUAACACACACCUGCAGAGUAACGAAGACUUCAAUGAGCGCAGAAACUUGUUUGCAUCAGAGACUCCGGCGCCCCCUGUGGACAAACCUAAGAAAACACCUUGAAACGGAGCUGCUGUCUUAAACUCGUAAAGGAAAACAGAAAAAUGAAAACAGAACCUCCUUGUUUCCAUGUACACAUGUACUGAAACACGGCUAAAUAAAAUCUUAGCUAUGAUUACAGCUAAUAUUGUA